This 1470-nucleotide ribosomal RNA is filed under the name metagenome. RNAcentral describes it as "bacterial LSU rRNA". It matches the Rfam family "Bacterial large subunit ribosomal RNA", at positions 1447 to 2925 of the family's 2925-position model. The record is from RNAcentral.
GGUAUAUAUGUGAAGGAAUGACGGAGAGAGGAAGCUGCAGCCAGCGGCUGGAAGAGCUGGUGCAAGCGAGAUAUCGGGAUGGCAGGCAAAUCCACCAUCCGAUACGAGAAGGCGUGAAGCGUACGGAAAGCUACGGCGAGUACGGAAGGCAGUGGAGGAACUUCCAAGAAAAAUUUCUAACGUUAAGUAUAUAUGGCCCGUACCGAAAAUGGACACACAUGGGUGAGGAGAGAAUCCUAAGGUGAGCGAGAGAACUAUAGCUAAGGAACUCUGCAAAAUGACUCCGUAACUUAGGGAGAAGGAGUGCUCAUAGAGAUAUGAGCCGCAGUGAAACGGCCCAAGCGACUGUUUACCAAAGACACAGCUCUCUGCUAAGCCGCAAGGCGAAGUAUAGGGGGUGACGCCUGCCCGGUGCUGGAAGGUUAAGGGGAGGGGUUAACGCAAGUGAAGCCCUGAACUGAAGCCCCAGUAAACGGCGGCCGUAACAAUAACGGUCCUAAGGUAGCGAAAUUCCUUGUCAGGUAAGUUCUGACCCGCACGAAAGGCGUAACGAUUUGGGCGCUGUCUCAGCUGUAGACUCGGUGAAGUCUUAGUACCUGUGAAGAUGCAGGUUACCCGCGACUAGACGGAAAGACCCCAUGGAGCUUCACUGCAGGUUGAUAUUGGGAUUUGAUGCAGCAUGUACAGGAUAGGUAGGAGGCAAAGAGAUGGAUACGCCAGUAUUCAAGGAGCCGCUGUUGGGAUACUACCCCUGUUGUAUUGGAUUUCUAACCGGACGACGUAGAGGCGUUGACGGGACAGUGUCAGUCGGGCAGUUUGACUGGGGCGGUCGCCUCCCAAAGAGUAACGGAGGCGCCCAAAGAUACCCUCAGCUUGGAUGGAAACCAAGCGCAGAGUGCAAAGGCAAAAGGGUGUUUGACUGCGAGACCCACAAGUCGAGCAGGGACGAAAGUCGGGCUUAGUGAUCCGGCGGUGCUGAAUGGAAAGGCCGUCGCUCAACGGAUAAAAGCUACCCUGGGGAUAACAGGCUGAUCUCCCCCAAGAGUUCACAUCGACGGGGAGGUUUGGCACCUCGAUGUCGGCUCAUCGCAUCCUGGAGCUGAAGUCGGUUCCAAGGGUUGGGCUGUUCGCCCAUUAAAGCGGUACGCGAGCUGGGUUCAGAACGUCGUGAGACAGUUCGGUCCCUAUCUGUCGUGGGCGCAGGAAAUUUGAGAAGAGCUGUCCUCAGUACGAGAGGACCGGGAUGGACGCAUCAAUGGUGGACCAGUUGUCACGCCAGUGGCAUAGCUGGGUAGCUAAAUGCGGAAGGGAUAAACGCUGAAGGCAUCUAAGUGUGAAACCCACUUCAAGAUGAGAUUUCCCAUUGCGCAAGCAAGUAAGACCCCUUAAAGACGAUAAGGUAGAUAGGUCAGGAGUGUAAGCAUGGUGACAUGUUAAGCGGACUGAUACUAAUAGGUCGAGGGCUUGACC